UGUCAACUGUGGCUGAGACAUUCAGGUUGAGAGCCCACAUUCUAAAAAGGUGAGUGAACUGAAAAAAGUCCUACUUUCAUUAUCAUUGCUUUCUGAUAAAAGAUCAUUCUUCGCUUACAAUUGUGUAAAUAUUUUCUCACAGUCUGUGAUUUAAAUACCAGGUGUCUACUCAAUCGUAGCAUACCUUUAACCAACGUAAAGUUUUAGUUAUCUUCACCUGCACACAUACUGCUCUGCCCACAAAUUCUGCAAUCCAGUUUUGCCUGAUUCUAAACUGCUCUCUCUAAAAGUCCCGCUCUAAGGAGCUUUUUGGGGGAACUACUUAAAAAGUGACUUUGAGAAAUGGAUAGUAUCCCUCUAUCCAUCCUCCCGCAGCAAAACAACUAAAUUCAACUAGAGUCAUUCUCCCGGCCCCUGAGAGUAAGACAUAGGCCUUUGGGUAACUCAACACCAAAAGUCAAAAAGCGUAGUCUGAGAAUGUGCGGGAGGACGCCUUUCCCCUUCUAACCAGACGAUAAAAUGAGGCUCAUAAAGAGAAGAAAACAAAAACACUAAAAAUUGGGGCUCCUGGCUGCGCGAAGGACCGGAGCGCCCAGGCGUCCGGGUACUUCUCCGCGGCAGUGGCGCGUCCUGGGGUUCAGCAACCCUCCUCCAGACACCUAACCUCCCCCUUCUCCAGCCUGCUUUCCCGAGGCACGCGAGAGCGGUCCUGAGGGAGGGGUAGUAGGCCUCAUUGUGUGGGACCCGAAAAGGCCCCGAGGCGGGGCGCGGAAGACACCACCCGGCACGAUUCGGGGAGGGGGCCGGGGGUUAGUUCAGGGAGCAGGCGGGUCACGAGGUGACAGGAGGAGGAGGGAGGAGGAAAGAAAUGGGGGUUGGGAGGUAGCGUCCAGUCCGUGGGCGCAGACAGCUCGGCUAUACCUCCGACUCCCCUAAUCCCGCCACCUCUGAGAACCCUACAGGGCGAGGAGGGAAGUCCACAAAGUGCCGGAGCAGAGGGGAGAAAAUUCAAAACGAGUCUACUCAACCUCGUCUUGGCUCCGAGGCCCUGCCAUGGAGACCAGCACAAUGCGCAGGCGCAUCCUUCGGAGAACGCGCAGCGCAGUACUGUGAGGCAAGACCACAAUCGGCCACCGUCGUCCAUUUCCCUUAUGAUUCCUUUUCCCCACCCCACGUAUUCCUCUCACCUGGAUCUAAAGCCUGAAGCUGGAGGCGGGAGCAUUCCGAAAGACUCGUCUUAG
Molecule: long non-coding RNA, 1241 nt
Filed under: Suricata suricatta (meerkat)
Lineage: Eukaryota; Metazoa; Chordata; Mammalia; Carnivora; Herpestidae
Description: lncRNA (ENSSSUG00005003476.1)
Source: RNAcentral